Molecule: ribosomal RNA, 464 nt
Filed under: uncultured bacterium
Lineage: Bacteria
Description: SSU rRNA
Rfam family: Bacterial small subunit ribosomal RNA
Source: RNAcentral
AGGAUUAACGCUGGCGGCGUGCCUAACACAUGCAAGUCGAACGAGGUAGCAAUACCUAGUGGCAGACGGGUGAGUAGCGCGUGGUCAACCUACCGUUGAGUGGGGGAUAACUAGCCGAAAGGUUAGCUAAUACCGCAUACGUCUCCGAGGGGCAUCCCUUGGCGAUAAAAGGAGCAAUCCGCUCGAUGACGGGACCGCGUCCCAUUAGCUAGUUGGUGGGGUAACGGCCUACCAAGGCAUCGAUGGGUAGCUGGUUUGAGAGAGCGACCAGCCACACUGGGACUGAGAUACGGCCCAGACUCCUACGGGAGACAGCAGUGAGGAAUUUUCCGCAAUGGGCGAAGGCCUGACGGAGCGACGCCGCGUGUGGGAAGAAGGCCUUCGGGUCGUAAACCACUGUCGAAGGGGAAGAUAAUGACGGUACCCUUGGAGGAAGCCCCGGCUAACUACGUGCCAGCAGCCGC